This 26-nucleotide non-coding RNA is filed under the name Mus musculus (house mouse). Lineage: Eukaryota; Metazoa; Chordata; Mammalia; Rodentia; Muridae. The record is from RNAcentral.
UGAGAGGAACAGUAAUGACCUUGGGC